AAGCCACACAUGACUAAAUGACUGAGAUAACUACUGUUGGUGAUUGAAGAAUCGUACAUUGAAACUUAAGGUUAGUAUUCUUCAUAUUUUUUAUGAUUCACAUGCUCAUCAUUAAUUUUUUUCUGAUUAAUCAUUACUUACUUUUUAUGUUUUAGAAUGUAUAUGCCGAAACCACAGCUCAACCUUUACCUAGUGGUUGAAAAAAUUGAAUUCUCAUCUUAAAGUUUACAUGAAACAACAACAACAUCUAUCUUCAACUAAUGUACACCAGAAUACAGCAAAAAGAAGACUGUGCAUCAGAAAUAUAUUUACCAUUUUACAUAAAGUAAGUGCAUUUUUAUUCAUAAUUUUGUUAUUUAAAUUUGUUUAGCCUUUAUAUCUUUCACUUCAAAAUACAAAACACCAUAUUAAUAUGUUUUCUUUUAUUGUAGAAACAAGUACUAUGGUGAACACAACACUGCAUCAAGUUGACACUUACCAUUUUACAAACAGUAGGUGUAUUUUUAUUAAUAAUUUUGUUAUAUAAAUUUGUUUAUCCUUUAUAUCUUUCACUUCAAAAUACAUAACACCAUAUUAAUAUGUUUUCUUUUAUUGUAGAAACAUGUACUAUGGUGAACACAACACUGCAUCAAGUUGACACUUACCAUUUUACAAACAGUAGGUGUAUUUUUAUUCAUAAUUUUGUUAUAUAAAUUUGUUUAGCCUUUAUAUUUUUCACUUCAAAAUACAUAACACCAUAAUAAUAUGUUUUCUUUUAUUGCAAAGAGAUGUACUAUGGUGAACACACCACUACAUCGGGAUGACUUCCUUUUUAAUGUCAUUCACAUCAACUGUCGUUAAAACACAACGUAUCUACCAAUCAACAUUUAUUCAUCUUCAACAGUACUUAUCUCAGUCAUUUAUUCAUGUGUGGUGAUGAAAUAAGCAUGUACAUUAACACUUAAGAAUGUAUAUGAUGACACCACAGCUGAACAUUCAUCUUAUGGUUGACUACAGUCAAUUUUCACAUGUUCUUGUUUAAAUUAAACAAUCACAUCUCAUCAUUUUUUUCAUCGGAUGUCCACCGCACAAAAAUACAACAAAAAGAACACUGGACAUCAGUUAUAAAAUUACCAUGCUACAUGGAUAAGGUGUGCUAUGUUGGACACAACGCUACAUCAGUAUGACACACAGUAGUCAUCCUGGUCAUCCAGGCUAUUCCUUUUGAAUGUCCAGAGCUGGUUACAACAAGACAGGACUACCAAGCCAAAUUAAUUCAACAUUUUCUAUCACAUUAUGAAGAACUAUUUCUUUAGGAUUACAAGAAAGACAUGAUAUAGCAUCAUGCAGAUAUGUUGUUUAUUUACACUUUAUUUUUAUUUUUUUAUUUUGAGAAUGUAUAUUAAUUUCACAACAAAUACAAUGGGUGUGGUUGUGCAUAUCAAGCAAAGGACUGCUGCAGUUCCUAAAACUUUAUUGUAGGGCUGGGUAUUGUUAGGAAUUUCACAAUUCGAUUCAAUUUCGAUUCUUGAGGCUUCGAUUCGAUUCAAUUCAAUUUUGCUUUACUUGCUUCGAUAUCGAUUCAAUAAUAAGUAAAUACCCAAGCAAUUAAGUACCUGAGUAUAUUUUUAAACAAUGUGUGUAGCAUUAAUAAUGUUUGAUCACGUUGAUGGUGAAGGCUUGUAAGAAGUGCUGCGGUUUGCCAUC
This is a non-coding RNA of Paramisgurnus dabryanus, 1686 nucleotides long. Lineage: Eukaryota; Metazoa; Chordata; Actinopteri; Cypriniformes; Cobitidae. The record is from RefSeq and is a predicted model, not a curated record.